Molecule: long non-coding RNA, 682 nt
Filed under: Salmo salar (Atlantic salmon)
Lineage: Eukaryota; Metazoa; Chordata; Actinopteri; Salmoniformes; Salmonidae
Description: lncRNA (ENSSSAG00000116009.1)
Source: RNAcentral
CUAGGAAGGCACCAGAAAGUAGAAUGAGAGCUCUCCAGUCUCUGGGUGAAAAACAGCAGGGGUUUUUGUGAGUGGUCCUUCUGAGAACAAUGACACUGGAGCGCGCAUGCACGAGACAACUCCAUGUUUUACUUUCAGUGUUUGAACGAAUACAACGUCGCCCGGUUGGAAUAUUAUCGCUAUUUUACGAGAAAAAUCGCACACAAAUUUAUUUAAACAGCGUUUGACAUGCUUCGAAGUACGGUAAUGGAAUAUUUUGAAAUAUUUUGUCACGAAACGCGCCGGCGCGUCACCCUUCGGAUAGUUACCUGAACGCAUGAACAAAACGGAGCUAUUUCAAUAUAACUAUGGAUUAUUUCGAACCAAAACAACAUUUGUUGUUGAAGUAGAAGUCCUGGGAGUGCAUUCUGACAAAGAACAGCAAAGUGUAAUUCCAGACGAUGACGCCAUCAUCAGGAGAGGAAAGGUUAGCGUUGAGAAUUUGGCAGUAUGUCCAACCGGACUCACAACCGCAGACCACAUGUAACCACGCCAUCUCAUCCACCUGCAGGAUCGUCUGAGACCAGCCACCUGGACAGCUUAUGAAACUGUGGGUUUGCACAACUGAAACAUUUCUGCACAAACAGUCAGAAACUGUCUCAGGGAAGCUCAUCUGCGUCCUCAUAAGGGUUGUCAUGACGUU